This 440-nucleotide ribosomal RNA is filed under the name uncultured bacterium. RNAcentral describes it as "bacterial SSU rRNA". It matches the Rfam family "Bacterial small subunit ribosomal RNA", at positions 338 to 769 of the family's 1533-position model. The record is from RNAcentral.
CCUACGGGAGGCAGCAGUGAGGAAUCUUGCGCAAUGGGCGAAAGCCUGACGCAGCGACGCCGCGUGAGGGAUGAAGGCCUUCGGGUCGUAAACCUCUGUCAGGGGGGAAGAACCCCCGGUCGGUGAACAACCGCCCGGGCUGACGGUACCCCCAGAGGAAGCACCGGCUAACUCCGUGCCAGCAGCCGCGGUAAGACGGAGGGUGCAAACGUUGUUCGGAAUCACUGGGCGUAAAGGGCGCGUAGGCGGACCUGUAAGUCGGGAGUGAAAACUCGGGGCUCAACUCCGAGCCUGCUUCUGAAACUGCGGGUCUUGAGGACCGGAGAGGAGAGCGGAAUUCCUGGUGUAGCGGUGGAAUGCGUAGAUAUCAGGAAGAACACCGGCGGCGAAGGCGGCUCUCUGGACGGUUCCUGACGCUGAGGCGCGAAAGCUGGGGGAGC